This 301-nucleotide ribosomal RNA is filed under the name uncultured bacterium. Its description in RNAcentral is "partial 16S ribosomal RNA". It matches the Rfam family "Bacterial small subunit ribosomal RNA", at positions 509 to 807 of the family's 1533-position model. The record is from RNAcentral.
CAGUAGCCGCGGGAAUACGAAGGGGGCUAGCGUUGCUCGGAAUUACUGGGCGUAAAGGGCGCGUAGGCGGACAGUUAAGUUGGGGGUGAAAGCCCGGGGCUCAACCUCGGAAUUGCCUUCAAUACUGGCUGUCUUGAGUAUGAGAGAGGUGUGUGGAACUCCGAGUGUAGAGGUGAAAUUCGUAGAUAUUCGGAAGAACACCAGUGGCGAAGGCGGCUUACUGGCUCAUUCUAGACGCUGAGGUGCGAAAGCGUGGGGAGCAAACAGGAUUAGAUACCCCUGUAGUCCCUGUCUCUUAUAC